This is a long non-coding RNA of Ruditapes philippinarum (Manila clam), 827 nucleotides long. RefSeq lists it as uncharacterized. NCBI's taxonomy places the organism in Eukaryota, Metazoa, Mollusca, Bivalvia, Venerida, Veneridae. The record is from RefSeq and is a predicted model, not a curated record. The transcript is spliced from 4 exons.
ACAAGCAUGUGAUGAUAUAAAGAAAGAAAUAAUUCAGAGACAGCUAGAGGUUAAAACAUUGAAAGAAGAUUUAGAUACAUCUAAUAGACAAGCAUGGAUAGUAAAGAAUAUGAAAAGCUCACUGAAAAAUAGGAAAAUCUUCAGGGUGAUUUGGUACAAAAUUCUGGAAACAAAGUGAUCCCUCGGAAGCAUUAAUAACAACAAAAUAACAUAAGAAUUGCAGACUCGGUUUGAUUGAGUCUGUACAUGAGGGAUAAUGAAUAAGUGCAACAUCCCUCACGCCCCCUAGCACCGGCUUGAGCGGUACUCAAUUCUCAACACUUUAUAGUGUUGGCAUCAAUGAUCCCGAAGGACCAGAAAAUAUAACAACACUGAAGUGUGUACAAGUUAACACCAAACCAGAAUGCAAAAGAAGCUGAUAAACUGGGAAGAAAAAAGAUUGAGCUAACUGCUGAAAAUCUACCCAGACUCACUAACAUUACCUGUUUAAGACUGAGUUUAUAGAUUUAAAAAACAACAUUAACCAGCUUUCAUCAGUUUAGAAUGAUAACAUUCUAUGUGUAUAUAUAUCAGAAUUCUGUAACAGCUGUUGAGCAUGUUAAACUAGAGGCUAGUGCAGCAGAGGAGCAGAAUUUAUUGUAUGAACAAAGUGAUCUUAGAAUUGAAGUGGUUGAACUCACGAGACUGGCUGCUAUUAAGGCUGAUGAAAGGGAACAGAAAGCUUGAGAUUUCAUGCGUGCUGAGAUGAGAUUUCACAAAGCUGUUGAGGAUCUAAAAACUAAACAGUUACAAAUACAAGAUCAUGAGAAAAAAACAUAAGGAGAUGC